AGAGCGAACGCUGGCGGCGUGCUUAACACAUGCAAGUCGAGUGCGCGCCUGUAGCAAUACAGGUGGCGCACGGCGCACGGGUGCGUAACACGUGGGUAAUCUGCCCUUCGAUGGGGAAUAACUCCGGGAAACCGAAGCUAAUUCCGCAUAACAUUCCUUGGACCUCGGUCUGGGGAUUCAAAGCCGUAAGGCGUCGGAGGAGGAACCCGCGCACGAUUAGUUAGUUGGCAGGGUAACGCCUACCAAGACUUUGAUCGUUA
This 260-nucleotide ribosomal RNA is filed under the name uncultured bacterium. RNAcentral describes it as "partial small subunit ribosomal RNA". It matches the Rfam family "Bacterial small subunit ribosomal RNA", at positions 26 to 285 of the family's 1533-position model. The record is from RNAcentral.